This 172-nucleotide small RNA is filed under the name bovine gut metagenome. RNAcentral describes it as "Bacteroidales-1 6S-Bacteroidales RNA suggested". It matches the Rfam family "Bacteroidales-1 6S-Bacteroidales RNA suggested". The record is from RNAcentral.
CAGAUUGGGAUACUCUUCAAAUAAUUAUGAAAUGCCGAGUCCGGUAUCGGUGUCAAUGGCGGGCCUCGACCCUUCGGGGUGUCUUUCGCGACCGGAGGAUUACAAAGAUGCUGAUACUCUCAAAUCCUGUUUUUAUCGGAGUUUCAUCCAUCGUCCUUUGGUGUGGCUUCUU